ACCGCGUGGGUGAAGAAGGCCUUCGGGUUGUAAAGCCCUUUUGUUGGGAAAGAAAAGCAAUCGAUUAAUACUCGGUUGUUCUGACGGUACCCAAAGAAUAAGCACCGGCUAACUUCGUGCCAGCAGCCGCGGUAAUACGAAGGGUGCAAGCGUUACUCGGAAUUACUGGGCGUAAAGCGUGCGUAGGUGGUUGUUUAAGUCUGUUGUGAAAGCCCUGGGCUCAACCUGGGAAUUGCAGUGGAUACUGGGCGACUAGAGUGUGGUAGAGGGUAGUGGAAUUCCCGGUGU
Molecule: ribosomal RNA, 288 nt
Filed under: Stenotrophomonas maltophilia
Lineage: Bacteria; Pseudomonadati; Pseudomonadota; Gammaproteobacteria; Lysobacterales; Lysobacteraceae
Description: partial 16S ribosomal RNA
Rfam family: Bacterial small subunit ribosomal RNA
Source: RNAcentral